GUUAUAUGGUCAAGUGAAGAAGCGCAUACGGUGGAUGCCUUGGCAGUCAGAGGCGAUGAAAGACGUGGUAGCCUGCGAAAAGCUUCGGGGAGUCGGCAAACAGACUUUGAUCCGGAGAUCUCUGAAUGGGGAACCCACCUAGGAUAACCUAGGUAUCUUGUACUGAAUCCAUAGGUGCAAGAGGCGAACCAGGGGAACUGAAACAUCUAAGUACCCUGAGGAAAAGAAAUCAACCGAGAUUCCCUUAGUAGUGGCGAGCGAACGGGGAUUAGCCCUUAAGCUUCAUUGAUUUUAGCGGAACGCUCUGGAAAGUGCGGCCAUAGUGGGUGAUAGCCCCGUACGCGAAAGGAUCUUUGAAGUGAAAUCGAGUAGGACGGAGCACGAGAAACUUUGUCUGAACAUGGGGGGACCAUCCUCCAAGGCUAAAUACUACUGACUGACCGAUAGUGAACCAGUACCGUGAGGGAAAGGCGAAAAGAACCCCGGAGAGGGGAGUGAAAUAGAACCUGAAACCGUAUGCGUACAAGCAGUGGGAGCCUACUUGUUAGGUGACUGCGUACCUUUGUAUAAUGGGUCAGCGACUUAUAUUCAGUGGCAAGCUUAACCGUAUAGGGUAGGCGUAGCGAAAGCGAGUCUUAAUAGGGCGUUUAGUCGCUGGGUAUAGACCCGAAACCGGGCGAUCUAUCCAUGAGCAGGUUGAAGGUUAGGUAACACUGACUGGAGGACCGAACCCACUCCCGUUGAAAAGGUAGGGGAUGACUUGUGGAUCGGAGUGAAAGGCUAAUCAAGCUCGGAGAUAGCUGGUUCUCCUCGAAAGCUAUUUAGGUAGCGCCUCAUGUAUCACUCUGGGGGGUAGAGCACUGUUUCGGCUAGGGGGUCAUCCCGACUUACCAAACCGAUGCAAACUCCGAAUACCCAGAAGUGCCGAGCAUGGGAGACACACGGCGGGUGCUAACGUCCGUCGUGAAAAGGGAAACAACCCAGACCGCCAGCUAAGGUCCCAAAGUUGUGGUUAAGUGGUAAACGAUGUGGGAAGGCUUAGACAGCUAGGAGGUUGGCUUAGAAGCAGCCACCCUUUAAAGAAAGCGUAAUAGCUCACUAGUCGAGUCGGCCUGCGCGGAAGAUGUAACGGGGCUCAAACCACACACCGAAGCUGCGGGUGUCACGUAAGUGACGCGGUAGAGGAGCGUUCUGUAAGCCUGUGAAGGUGAGUUGAGAAGCUUGCUGGAGGUAUCAGAAGUGCGAAUGCUGACAUGAGUAACGACAAUGGGUGUGAAAAACACCCACGCCGAAAGACCAAGGGUUCCUGCGCAACGUUAAUCGACGCAGGGUUAGUCGGUUCCUAAGGCGAGGCUGAAAAGCGUAGUCGAUGGGAAACAGGUUAAUAUUCCUGUACUUCUGGUUACUGCGAUGGAGGGACGGAGAAGGCUAGGCCAGCUUGGCGUUGGUUGUCCAAGUUUAAGGUGGUAGGCUGAAAUCUUAGGUAAAUCCGGGGUUUCAAGGCCGAGAGCUGAUGACGAGUCGUCUUUUAGAUGACGAAGUGGUUGAUGCCAUGCUUCCAAGAAAAGCUUCUAAGCUUCAGGUAACCAGGAACCGUACCCCAAACCGACACAGGUGGUCGGGUAGAGAAUACCAAGGCGCUUGAGAGAACUCGGGUGAAGGAACUAGGCAAAAUGGCACCGUAACUUCGGGAGAAGGUGCGCCGGCUAGGGUGAAGGAUUUACUCCGUAAGCUCUGGCUGGUCGAAGAUACCAGGCCGCUGCGACUGUUUAUUAAAAACACAGCACUCUGCAAACACGAAAGUGGACGUAUAGGGUGUGACGCCUGCCCGGUGCCGGAAGGUUAAUUGAUGGGGUUAGCGCAAGCGAAGCUCUUGAUCGAAGCCCCGGUAAACGGCGGCCGUAACUAUAACGGUCCUAAGGUAGCGAAAUUCCUUGUCGGGUAAGUUCCGACCUGCACGAAUGGCGUAACGAUGGCGGCGCUGUCUCCACCCGAGACUCAGUGAAAUUGAAAUCGCUGUGAAGAUGCAGUGUAUCCGCGGCUAGACGGAAAGACCCCGUGAACCUUUACUGUAGCUUUGCACUGGACUUUGAGCCUGCUUGUGUAGGAUAGGUGGGAGGCUUUGAAGCGUGGACGCCAGUUCGCGUGGAGCCAUCCUUGAAAUACCACCCUGGCAUGCUUGAGGUUCUAACUCUGGUCCGUGAUCCGGAUCGAGGACAGUGUAUGGUGGGCAGUUUGACUGGGGCGGUCUCCUCCUAAAGAGUAACGGAGGAGUACGAAGGUGCGCUCAGACCGGUCGGAAAUCGGUCGCAGAGUAUAAAGGCAAAAGCGCGCUUGACUGCGAGACAGACACGUCGAGCAGGUACGAAAGUAGGUCUUAGUGAUCCGGUGGUUCUGUAUGGAAGGGCCAUCGCUCAACGGAUAAAAGGUACUCCGGGGAUAACAGGCUGAUACCGCCCAAGAGUUCAUAUCGACGGCGGUGUUUGGCACCUCGAUGUCGGCUCAUCACAUCCUGGGGCUGAAGCCGGUCCCAAGGGUAUGGCUGUUCGCCAUUUAAAGUGGUACGCGAGCUGGGUUUAGAACGUCGUGAGACAGUUCGGUCCCUAUCUGCCGUGGACGUUUGAGAUUUGAGAGGGGCUGCUCCUAGUACGAGAGGACCGGAGUGGACGAACCUCUGGUGUUCCGGUUGUCACGCCAGUGGCAUUGCCGGGUAGCUAUGUUCGGAAAAGAUAACCGCUGAAAGCAUCUAAGCGGGAAACUUGCCUCAAGAUGAGAUCUCACUGGGAACUUGAUUCCCCUGAAGGGCCGUCGAAGACUACGACGUUGAUAGGCUGGGUGUGUAAGCGUUGUGAGGCGUUGAGCUAACCAGUACUAAUUGCCCGUGAGGCUUGACCAUAUAACACCCAAACA
RNAcentral lists this ribosomal RNA (2910 nucleotides) under Pseudomonas aeruginosa. RNAcentral's name for it is "23S ribosomal RNA". It matches the Rfam family "Bacterial large subunit ribosomal RNA". The record is from RNAcentral. Lineage: Bacteria; Pseudomonadati; Pseudomonadota; Gammaproteobacteria; Pseudomonadales; Pseudomonadaceae.